UACGUAGGUGGCAAGCGUUGUCCGGAAUUAUUGGGCGUAAAGCGCGCGCAGGCGGUCCUUUAAGUCUGAUGUGAAAGCCCACGGCUCAACCGUGGAGGGUCAUUGGAAACUGGGGGACUUGAGUGCAGAAGAGGAAAGCGGAAUUCCCGGUGUAGCGGUGGAAUGCGUAGAGAUCGGGAAGAACACCAGUGGCGAAGGCGUUCUGCUGGGCCGUUGCUGACACUGAGGCGCGACAGCGUGGGGAGCAAACAGG
This 253-nucleotide ribosomal RNA is filed under the name uncultured bacterium. RNAcentral's name for it is "partial 16S ribosomal RNA". It matches the Rfam family "Bacterial small subunit ribosomal RNA", at positions 524 to 776 of the family's 1533-position model. The record is from RNAcentral.